AGGAAGGGGUUACAUAUGAAAAUUUUCCGCUAAAAUAAAAAACUUUGUUUUGCUGACCCAUCCCUCAAGUUUAUUUUCUUCCUUUCACAAGCUUAAGUAAACAUUCCGUAAAGGUAUAUUUGAAGCGGUACAACCCGCGGGCGGUGGCCUACAUAUUUAUGGAAGCGAGUGUACAUCGUGCCUAUACCAUGGUUAUGUGAAUCCAUUAGCAGAGGCAUCGAAAAAAGGUAGAAUUUAUUGCAAUAAAAUCUUUCGUUAAUUAAGGGGCACAAUCGCUAUUGCAAAGAAAUCUGUCAAAAGCAUUGACCAUUGUGUUAAGCCUUUUCAAUACAUGAUCUGAAUGGCAAAUGGAGGUGAAGGGUUGAUCUGGGACUUGACAUGUUACUUUUUGAUAGCCAUGUGAUACUCUUGUGCUGUGGUUAUACUGUGAAUGUUGGUUCUAAAAAAUGUACACUGCAGUGACAUUUGAGGUAACACUCCUGUUAUUUAUUUGUUUGAACCAAGUUUGGAUGUGACAAUGCCCACCAAUGAAGCAAACACUCUGAAUUCUCUUGUAUGGAGUUCCUUCAGCCAUCUUCCAUCUCAUUGCACCAUGCAUUGGAUGAAGUGCCCAGUACUCAAGGAAUCAAAAGUGUUUUGUUUGUCUGCUUUGGAAAUAGUUAAUGUGCUUCAGGAGUUGCAUUGACUAAGGAAGCAAAACAAAUUUUUCUUCUACCGAUUGGUCAAGUGUUUGAUGACCAUUCUGAUCUUCUGAUUCCUCAUUCUACAGGCCUUGCAGUUGCAGUAGUUUGUAGUUACAAGGAAUUAGCUCAAGAGUUGUCUUUCAGACUGAUGGUCUCCAGGUUGAUAUAAAAAAUGUUCACCAGCUUGUUGGAUUCUCAUGGCUUUCCUGCAUAUCCACUGUGCAAAACUGCACCAUCCAAAGUAUGAAUAGGGCUAUAAGUAAAUGUGGAAGCACUUUUAACUUCUUCUUUGUCCAUGGUUACUUAUAGCCUUUGUUUUAUGCCAGAUAUUGCAAUCUACUGUGUCUCACCAACACAAGAAGAAAUGCACAAUUCUCAGCUGAGUUUCUCUGUUAGGAAGAGAUUUAAAAGAUACAUUAUAGAUUGAGAGAUAUAUCAUCAUCAUUGUAUAGCAUGAGGGAAAAUGUGGGAACGCGACAGUGGACCUCCCAACAGUGGCCCCCGAGGGUACCCCGACACCAGCCCCCCCUAAAAUUAGUUCCCUGUUAAUUUUUUUAGCAAACAUUGAUUUACUUUAAUUUAGUAUUCGUUUGUUACAUUACACGUACGUCGUUAUGUUACAAACAAAUUGCUAAAAAUUGGUUUCGUAUGCCUACACGACACAGGCCCCCCCCCCCCCGCUUCUAUUGCCGGGGGGCUGUUGUCGGGGUACCCUCGGGGGCCACUGUUGGGGGGUCCAAUGACCGCAUGGUGGAAAAUGUGCUAGAUGGAAGACUUAGGUUUAAUAUUUAUUUCAAAUGCUUUGCAAUUUCUAGUUCAACAACCAGUAAUAGUAUGUGUUAUUCAAUCACCUUGUUUUGGAUCUAAAUACGUUGAUUCUGCAGGGUUUCUUGAAUGUAAGCUGUUGUUAAUGAACAGACAGUCAGAAGUCAAACAGAACCAUAGGCAUCGCACUGUACUAUACCUGGAAUUCACGACAGCAGGGGUUUAUUACUUUUUGAGAAUUAAACAAAAGGUAUCUUCAAUUUCAGAGCAAAGUUGAUGGAAGACUUAUGGUGUAUUGUCCAGCAUCCCCGCAAAAAACAUUAGUGAUUGUUAUGGGCCAACGGAAGGGGGAAAAUGCUGAUGGUCUUCUUUCCAUGGCCCAUUUUCUUGAUAGUUCAACAAAAACCUUAAACUACGCGGAAAGAAUCAUAAGUUGCUGGCCGAUUCAACCGUCAUGUUUCUACUUGGGCUUAUAAUAUGCACAAAUGGAGGCAUGUACAGUAUGUCUUACAGUUGAUCGAUACAUAUGCAGCUACGUUUUCCGCCCUGAUCAUCGGAAUUGCUGAAGUGUGCGUCAUCGCAUGGAUUGCCGGAGAAAUAGGACCCAAAAUAGGCCAUGGAGAAAUAGGACCUCUUUUUCUGACUUUCUUUUUAGGGUCCUAUUUCUCCGCUAGAUGGGUCCUAUGUCUCCCUCCUGUCAUUAAUGGCUGCCUAUGUUUCACAGCGUUGCUAAACUAAUUGUUUUAAAUAUAAUUAACUGAAUUACCCUAACCUAACCUACGAAACCUUUAUAUUUUAUUCUAUUAUUUAUUUCUUAUAUUUAUUAUCUAUCUAUUUUAUAUUAUUCGAUGGCAUCGAUUCCUUGAUGACAUCAAACAAAUGCUUGGGCAUGACGCACCACCACGCUGAAAUUGGCCAUUUUGGUUUUCACUUAGGUGAACUUCCGAACCAGUUCCGACCACUUACGUACGGCGAUUACACUUAACCUUUGGAGGCGACUGUCAUAGGAUUUCUGAUUGCGUCGUCUUCUGUGGCCAUGGUUCCAAUCAUGGCUAUCUACAAGGUUUUCCAAUUGGAUGGGCCCAUUCUAGAGCGUAUUCGAGUUCUUCUGCAACCAAGCAGUGAUUGGGGCCAGGCUUUAGAAAAUUCAUCAUAUCGACUAUCGAGGCUGGAGCUACGACUCACACCGAUUCACAAUUGCCACUGGCUUUACAUAAGUACAGAUUCGAAGAGUUGGAAUUGGAGUUGACUACUGUUUUGGAACGCGAAUCGGAAAGCGACAAUUGGAUUUAUAUGAAAUGUACGGCGCCCAAUUGAAGCGACCAUCCAUCUGGGACUGUUGAUCCCAACUCAGUUUACGAAGCGGAUGCCUCGCUAUACGAUCCAGUAAUCGUUACUUGCGGUCUUCCAGUGACGGGAAUUUGUUAUGCGUGCAAUUACUCAACAAGGAAUUAGGUUGUUAAAGCAAGUUUGACUUUUUACGAUGCUUCCACUUACGGGCGUGGUCGCCAAAAUUUGUCGUUGUGUCGGACUGCUAAUCCGGAAGGAAAAAAUCGAAUUAAAGUCGAUACGUUUGUCAAAGUGGCAGAUAGAACGGAUAAACGAUUUAAAUCACACUUGGGAUAAUCUACUUCUCGGACAAGGUACUUUGAGGCCGGAUUUAUUUGAGUCCACUUCGCACAUGGCUUCUUCACGCGGUUUGUCAAUUCGAAUCAUUAGCGCCAAAAAACCGUUCAUGGAAGCUGAUUUCGGUGAGACGCAAGUGCUGAUUUGGCUGAUGGUCGAUUAUGCCAACAUGGCAGCCAAGGAACAUGCCUUGCUCAAUCGGAUUGAUAUCGCGACGUUGGAAGAAGAGCGUUUUCUUCUGGAAGAACUGUCCAUUCGCGAGCAGUAUGUUGCUACGCUACUGUCUAUUCGCGCUGUCGGUGUUCAGGGAGAUUGCCGAACUUACAGCUAUUGCGUACCACUGAGCUCUUAUCAGACACAACCUAACUGGAAUGAUCUAGCUACCUACGCCCGCUUAAUACCGCGUGCGUGUCAUAAUGUCAAUCGUGUUUGCUACAUAUUCGGAAAGGCUGUGCGUGAAUCGGUGACAGACGUUACACCUACCUACUUAACGAAUAACAUUUUGGCGAUCUUCAGGGAAGCGGAUUAUUUGGCAAAUAAAAUAUUACGGGAUUCGGGUUGCCAUGAGAAGCUAGCGCAGAUGCCAAUCGUCUGGAUCCCUUUCACUUUUAUCACGAUUCGAGUCAACGCAUUCCAUCAUGCCAGUGAUCAGUCAUUUUUCGAUCAUUCUUUUCACAGGAUUUUAUGACUGGACUUCCUGCAAUUCCUGAUACCCACUUGCCCCAAGAGUUACGUAAAAAAUGGGUACAUUUUUUUAGCAGAUCUUGCUGUAAACAUGGAUACCGCUAAUUAGGUUGUAGACAAGAUGGUUGAAGCCGUCUUAACAGUUCCAGGAAUUUUCAGGGUCUUGUAUGAUCUGACGGUGAAACCACCCUGGACAACGGAGUGGGAAUGAUUUGAUUUGCGAACGUUGCUUAGGCAAAUGAUCUCCGCCACUCUUUACAGGACACGGAUGCGGAAUUCUAUAACUGGCCAGAUUUAGAUGGGAUACAUUAUAAUAGUGGAUUCAGUAUAGACUUUUAAAAUUGAAAAUUUAUCAUCUUUGUCGUCUCGUGAAAAUUUCUUUAACUCGCUUCUUAGGAAAAAAUCACGUGAUGACUUGUUGAGUAUUCCUUAAAAUACAUGCACACUUGUCGGAAAUAAUGGGUGCAUUUGGUUUUCGUGGAACAAGUUAAACAUUGUUAAUGUGCAGCUAGGUGGGUUGUUGUUGCUCUCCGAAGGCUAUUCGAGGCGUUAUGCCAUUUCCUGAGAUUAAACAUUCGGGAAAUGCUGUAAAUAUUCGCAAAUUGUUAAGAUCUAUUCAGAAUGGUACCAUAAAGUAUGACUGUAGGAAAGGGUACGUCGGCUUCUAAAAGUGAAGAACAGCUCUGACGUCUUUGGUAAGCGGAAAAGGUACUGCUGAUUCAAGCGUCAGAAGACGGUUUUAAGAAUGGACUCUUUCCUUUGCCCAAUGAAUCUGUGCUUGGAAUUGGCAGGUGGCGUUUAGCAGUGGCACUCAAUCUUUAUUCUUAAAACCCAGAGGUGUUCUUCACUUUUCAGGGGGAUUUAAUGAUGAUACUUGUUGGGUUAUCCAUGAAGAAUACCAAUACAUGGAUAAAUGGAGGGUAAUAAACGUAAAAACUGUAAUUCCUCGUGGCAUUUUCAUUCACGCAUACGCGGCAGUUCGUGAGCAGACGAACCAUUGAAAGGGCUUUGCGCAGUCUAGCUGCAUCCAGCCAGAUACUAGUAGAACCCAAAACAUUGUGUUGACAAGUACUGUCAUAUUUCGGUUGCAGGUUUUCACUAAAUAGCAAGCUGAUCCUACGAGCUACGGCAGUUUUACCUACAAAUGUUUAGCGUUUCGUGCUGCAACUAGUAGUGAUAUUCUGGAUGUUAUGCCUAAAAUUGGAAUUCAGCUAUCAGAGGUUAGCAAAAUUGAGGUGGAAACUCUAGAUGGCGUUGAUGUACGUCUAUGAUGAAGAUUAUGAGUGACAAGUUAAUUGGGUGUUUGUCACUUUAUCCUGUUUUGUGUUUCAAAGGAUUUUUCGUCAAAAAAUUUACGCUAUGCCAGCUGCGAACCAGCAGCCUGUAUUCCUGCUAUCAAUGUACCACAAGAGAUCCUGACACUUUAAGAAGGCCACUAUUGCUUACAUGAAGAUCACCAUCCAGUUCAAUCAACGACAGAGUCUUCAUCUACUUUGUGUUGCUAAACAUCAGCCCUCAACAUCCCAAGUAUCCAGAUUUCCAAGUUUCUCUGAUUAGCCAACCAUCAUCCAUACCCUUCAGCUCUUCAGUGUGACUUAUCUUACUCUCUUCCUAGUCUGCGGAAUGCCAACAUUGAAUAAGGUUCCUCAUCAUUGCCUUUCCAUGAAAAUCUUCAUUGUUAAUCCUGCUGUUCUCCUUACCAUUACUUAGCCAGCUCACAUGGAUGGGAUUUAACUAAGAAAAACUUCUGUGUUAGGACUGCAAAUAUUCAUCUUCCUCUGGUACAACACUGCCGUUUUGACAAUUUUGGUAGUUUCUCUCCCAGUGAACCAUACGCAACUACAUUUUCUUCAUCUUCCUGUCGUUGUUGUCUACGACUUCACCUCAUCGCUGUCUUCGUUGACGUCUUCGCCUUCAUCUCCGUCUCGUCGUCUUCGCCUUCAUCUCCGUCUCGUCGUCUUCGCCUUCAUCUCCGUCUCGUCGUCUUCGCCUUCAUCUCCGUCUCGUCGU
This 5768-nucleotide unclassified non-coding RNA is filed under the name Daphnia magna. Its description in RNAcentral is "gMP synthase [glutamine-hydrolyzing], transcript variant X11". The record is from RNAcentral. Lineage: Eukaryota; Metazoa; Arthropoda; Branchiopoda; Diplostraca; Daphniidae.